This is a long non-coding RNA of Esox lucius (northern pike), 2183 nucleotides long. The record is from Ensembl. NCBI's taxonomy places the organism in Eukaryota, Metazoa, Chordata, Actinopteri, Esociformes, Esocidae.
AAAAAUAUGAAUUGGCCUGCCUUUUUUUUUACACAGUCAAUGACAACCAGCUGUUCCCAAUUAAGACAAGCAAGGUUUGGUCUCAGACAGAAUAUCUAAGGCACAUGUUGAGGUGCUUGAAUCAUUUGGUCAUCAGGUAGUUUGUGUCCAAAGUGCUGCAACAAUGCUUCUAGCGCUGCCUAUACUUUUAAGCUUUGCUUUCUCUUGCAGUGUCUUUUCUGUUGGCAGUGUGUCUGCUGGAGGUUCCUGGUGUGCAAAAACAGCAAGAGCCAGAGCAGCCGCCAUGGGCUUGGUCCUUCCGAAGACCCCGUUUAUUCCCUAUGGUCUUCCAUCAACGCAACACGGAAGUCAUGAUCCCAAAAGAACCCACUAUGAAAAUAAAAAUGACUUCAGAGAGGCUGAGCUUGGCUCUCCUAGUGACUGGGCUUAUGGUCAAGUCUUUACCAGAGGUGUCCAGUCCAAACCAUCUACACUAAACCAUCGUGCCUCUGAACCCCAACAAGUGGACUCUCUUGGAAAUUAUGCCCCCAGUUACCGAGGGAAAUAUGUUAGCAGCCACGUGCCUGACUUUGAGCGGCUCAAUUCUUCCCCUGAACUAGAAGCAAUGGUUCUUGGUUCGUCUGAGGAAGGGAAUAGUCAGGAUAACUAUAUUCCCAACUUAUUGGCUUAUAGACGUGACCCUGUUGUAUUUCAACAUGUCUCCAGCAGACCAAAAAAAUCCUGGGGUGUGCAUUCACGUCCCUGGGGCAGAGGACCUUUCCCUUAUGGACAGGGCCUUCUCCCAGUCCAAAGGCUGUCGUCCCCCCAUGGCCCUGGACACGGUAAGAGCCUUGUUUCUAGAUCCCCUCCGCCAUCAAGUGAGCGUUUCCGCAGCGUUGGAGCAAGAGGUUCUGCUGACGGAAAGAUUUGGACCCCAGGCCCCGUUUAUUCUCCGUUCCUUGUUCAAAGGGCUGACUAUGAAGCGUGAAGAGUGACAGGAUUUGGUUUUGGAUUUGAAUAAUGAACAAACUGUACUUAGCAAACCAGAGCUUUCGAGGAGCCUAACAUGCCAGCGGGUAGCAAAUCAAUGUUCCUAUUUAGUGUUAAGAUUUUGUGUAAUCCAUUCCAUUCAUUAAGUGUUGUGAAUCAUUACUUGAAGGUCCUGCCCCCCCAACAAGAAUGGACGCUACACUGUCCAAAUGAAGUAAAGGUGUUCACUAGACAGACUGCAGUUCAUGGACUGCAUCUUAAGGUUCACUAUACAACAUUUAUUGUAUUUUUAUUUGAGGAAACUCAAUAUCCUGCAGUAUGAGCAUGUAUUAUUCUGUCUACCUGACUGCAGGUCACUAUAAAUAGACUAAAUAAAAUGUUAUUUAAAAUACAGAACUUGCUUGAUGUUCAACUUUUGAUCCCUGGAAGUGAUUGUCCCUGUAAAACCCUAUUAAAUCUUGAGAUAAAACAAUGGAAUAGAGUCUCAAUCAGAGGUUGUCUCUAAAUAAACGUGACACCUACACUUCAUUAACCUCAAGUUUAUUUGCUGUAGGACUCCCAUAAUAUUCGGUCAAAUGUGUCCAACUGCUCCAACUAAUGGCUCUCAGGCUUGAUGUUCCCAGAGUGCCAUCUACUGGUCAAAGCAGUUAAUUACUGAGUCAUACCAAUCCAGAAUUGUACUGCGCAUCCAACAGAUUACCCCUGGCAAAUCCCAUAAUCUCUUCCGCAUUACCAAAAGGGUAUAAUGAUUUCACGUAGAGUUUUUGUCAAUGGCUCCGUAUUUGUUUGACUUAACAGUUGAACAAAGCCACACCUUCGUUUGCCUUGUGGGCUGUUGUUAGGAUUUCAAGAGGUUUGGAUUGACUGCAUGCCAGGCCUGCUAUGUUUCUUGUCUUGGAAUGCAAAAGCCCCCAUGGAUAAAAUGCAAGAGUUUACUAUAAAUUGACAUAGUCAUGUUCCUGCCUAAUUGCCACAGUAGCCAUAAUAUAGGAUGUUGCACAUGGCAUCCUAAAUGUCUAUUCUUUUUUUGUAAUGUGUUAUCUAUAUAAGAACCAUCUCUGCAGUAGAAGACAAUGUGGAAGUACAUCUUAAGCACAAUCUAUCAAAGCAGAAGGCACUCGGUUACUAUGCAACUAGCCAGCAAUCUUCUAAAAGCAUAAAUUCCAAAAGAAACGACCACUAGGUUGUCAAACGGAUGUACAUUUAUCUGAACC